UAAAAUUCAUGUAAAAAAAAAAACUAAAAUUAAUUAACCACUCUCUUUCUCUUUCACCAUUUUCGUCUCCUGCUACCUCUCUCUCUCUCUCAAAAUAUCUCAAAGUCUCAACCCUAAAAUGGAAGAGACGAUCUGUACCCAGUGGGUAUGAAGAUCAUUAAUGGCCAUUUCUCUAUGUCGUUGUUGCUGUUGAUGGUGGGCAUCAGAGUUUGGUGUGGGUGUUCGCCGACGGCUGGAGACGAGAAGUUCGACAUCGACGGUGCCGACUUCGACGGAAUCGGCAUCGACAGGCUAAGAAGAUCAAAGCCCUAAUUUUUUGUUGAAGCCUAGAUCUUCGUCUUAGUCUAGCACCACCGCUUCUUCAUCUCGUAUCUUCGUGUCAAUCCACCGGUGUUUUUUAUUCUUCUCUUCGUGUAUUGAUUUUUAAUUUUUAAUAUAUGGAUCUAAGUAAUAGCUACCAUUUUUAGUUUGGGAUCUGAAAUUUUGUGUACUGUAUUAGUUUUGGUCUAUUUAUGACUGCCCAAAAAUACUAAUAUAAUAGUUAUAAGUAUUUGAAUAAAUAUUUUAAUGUGGUCUGUUUAGUUUGUGA
This is a long non-coding RNA of Cannabis sativa, 589 nucleotides long. RefSeq lists it as uncharacterized. The record is from RefSeq and is a predicted model, not a curated record. The transcript has 2 exons. NCBI's taxonomy places the organism in Eukaryota, Viridiplantae, Streptophyta, Magnoliopsida, Rosales, Cannabaceae.